This 201-nucleotide unclassified non-coding RNA is filed under the name uncultured fungus. Its description in RNAcentral is "sequence contains ITS1". Lineage: Eukaryota; Fungi. The record is from RNAcentral.
UUAACUAUUAUAUAGUACUCAGACGACACUAAUAUUCAGAGUUUGAGGUCCUCUGGCGGGCGCGUACCAGCCGGAGCCGGUAGCCUGACCGAGGCCGGGCGGCCCGCCAAAGCAACAGAGAUAUGAUAACAUAGGGUGGGAAUUCUCCCCGUGAGGGGAAAGAACUCGUUAAUGAUCCCUCCGCAGGUUCACCUACGGAGA